CGCCUCCCACCUGGGAGGCUGCACCUCCAGCUCCCACCACCGCCGCCGGGACUGCAGCACACCCUCCUCCCUCGGGGCUGCGCCCGGUAAUCGCAAACCGAGUCUCUGCUGCCCCCUGCCGGCCCGAGGGUCCCCUGCUGCUGUAGGUGUGCUCACGUGUGUACACGUAGAUAUUCCAGAAGGAACACAGCCCAAGGACAGAACGUUUUCUUCUCAUUAUUAUGUCCUCACCCAACACCUAGCGUGCGGUCUGGUUCCUGGGAACUUUCCACCAUGCCUCCCAUCACAACUCCAGCGCUUUGUGUCAUCAGAAAACCUUGGGGAGAGUUCCUUAUGCACUCCUUCCUCCAGAGUAAUGUAGUUUUACAUGUUAAUUAAACAGCCCCUUGCUGUCUCUAAGGAACUCCUUUCAGAAAUGUGCCAUUUACCCGAACCUUUGUUUCCUGGCUCAUUUCCUAGACUCAAUAAAA
This is a long non-coding RNA of Myotis brandtii (Brandt's bat), 470 nucleotides long. RefSeq lists it as uncharacterized. Lineage: Eukaryota; Metazoa; Chordata; Mammalia; Chiroptera; Vespertilionidae. The record is from RefSeq and is a predicted model, not a curated record. The transcript has 3 exons.